Molecule: non-coding RNA, 108 nt
Organism: Acanthosepion pharaonis
Lineage: Eukaryota; Metazoa; Mollusca; Cephalopoda; Sepiida; Sepiidae
Source: the annotation of a GenBank genome assembly
GCUCUAUCACGCUGAAACACCAAUUCUCAUACGAUCACCAAAGUUAAGCAAUGUGGAGCCUGGUUAGUACCUGGAUGGGUGACCGCUUAGCAAGACUAAGUGCUGGAU